Molecule: ribosomal RNA, 497 nt
Filed under: uncultured bacterium
Lineage: Bacteria
Description: partial 16S ribosomal RNA
Rfam family: Bacterial small subunit ribosomal RNA
Source: RNAcentral
GAUGAACGCUGGCGGCGUGCCUAAUACAUGCAAGUCGAGCGAACAGACGAGAAGCUUGCUUCUCUGAUGUUAGCGGCGGACGGGUGAGUAACACGUGGAUAACCUACCUAUAAGACUGGGAUAACUUCGGGAAACCGGAGCUAAUACCGGAUAAUAUUUUGAACCGCAUGGUUCAAUAGUGAAAGACGGUCUUGCUGUCACUUAUAGAUGGAUCCGCGCUGCAUUAGCUAGUUGGUAAGGUAACGGCUUACCAAGGCAACGAUGCGUAGCCGACCUGAGAGGGUGAUCGGCCACACUGGAACUGAGACACGGUCCAGACUCCUACGGGAGGCAGCAGUAGGGAAUCUUCCGCAAAGGGCGAAAGCCUGACGGAGCAACGCCGCGUGAGUGAUGAAGGUCUUCGGAUCGUAAAACUCUGUUAUUAGGGAAGAACAUAUGUGUAAGUAACUAUGCACGUCUUGACGGUACCUAAUCAGAAAGCCACGGCUAACUACGUG